Molecule: long non-coding RNA, 1393 nt
Organism: Humulus lupulus (European hop)
Lineage: Eukaryota; Viridiplantae; Streptophyta; Magnoliopsida; Rosales; Cannabaceae
Exons: 3
Source: RefSeq, a predicted model, not a curated record
CAAGGAAAUCAAAAAGGAAACAACGUGGUAAAGGUGGACAUAUUGGUAAAGUAAACAAGCUUAUGAUUUUUGAUAGUUCAGGGGUGAGAGAAGAUAAUCUCUUACAUGGGACUUAUCAUGGAAUAUCUUGUUUGCGUUACUAUAUCUACAGAGGUCAUUUGAUGAUACCCAUAGGUUGUACACAAAGUCAAUUGGAAAAAAAAUUAAUAUUUGAUAAUAAUACACAUGUUCUUUUUUCUUAUUAUUAUUUUUUUUUUUUGCAGUAAUUUUUUGUUACUAUUCUUAAUGUGCUAUGAAUUGGGCUUUUGGCGGGUUAUUAUUUGGAAAAGUACCUUGCCAUGCCAAAUUUGUAAUUCUAAGUUAUUUUGACUGGACUUAACUCAUUGAUGCAAGUUUUGUUAUAAAAAAACAACUAUUUGAAUGCCCAAACCCCUUUGGAAUAAUUUGUAAAACUGUUAUUGAAAUUUGAUAGAGGUCCUUGCAUGUAUAAAUGGGUGGUGAUUUCGGGUUUGUGUUUCUGAUGCUAGAUAAUCAUGAUUGAUAAGAUUUAGUGGAUACCCUUUUUUGUUGGUAUAUGAUUGGCUUCUUAGGCUGUAAAAUAUAAUUGACACCUUGUCAUCUUUCUUUUUUUUAAACAGGCUUAUCAUCUAUUUAUUAAUAUACGGUUUGCUACUUCCCUUUUAAGAUUGGUAUAGUUAGUUUACAUAAAUAGUUCAGGCAUGUUGUCCUAAAUUAAUUGGGAAGUAUUGACCUCUUUGAGGGCUCAUUUUAACUAAAAUCUUAACUGGAACUUGUUCACUUUCUUUCAGUUUUUCAUAAAUUUUAGGUAGCAUAAUAUCUCUGUUUUUUUUUAAUUCCAUUUGCAGCUUAAAAGUCAUCCUGCAAGAUCACAGAGAAAGUGAAUGAUAAGUGGGAGGUUUGUGUGAGCCUUAGUGAUGGGCAAUUUCAACAGUUUAGCUUUGUAAAUUCGAUUGCCACAAUCAAGGGUGGAACUCAUGUAGAUCACGUCACAAGUCAGAUCACUAAUCAUUACUUUCUGUAUCUUUGUUUAUGUUUUACCUUUUAAACUUGCAGUGGCAAAGUCUGGCAUUUUGGAUAGUCUUCUUUCCUGGGCCAACUUCAAGCAGAACAAGGAUCUUAAGAAAACAGAUGGAGCUAAGACAGAAAGGGUUCACAAUAUCAAUAAGCUGGAGGAUCAGGUAUAUUGAGAUGAUUUCUUUGGAGCAAUUCUUGACAAUAUUUGUAGUUGAGGCCUUUAGAAUGGAAGAAUGUAUUUCACUAAUUUUUUUAUACAUUUUUUGUUUUGUAUUUAGUGAUAAAUGAAUCUGAAUUAGACAUAAAUUAUGUUGUAAUAUGAUUUCUUAAGCCUAGACUAGUAGACUAAAUAUUGUAA